UCGAGCUUGUGCCUGGCUACCCACUGCCCAGUAAGUACUCACCUUUUUAUUAAUCCAAUUUACCCACCUAUCAAAUACAAACCGAAUACAAUCACUGAAUCAUCUAUCAGCUACUAGUUAAUUAGAUAUGGGCUUGAGGCUUCUGAUGUGGAGCGCUGCGUUUUCUGUUCUUACCUGUCCGAACUCCGCCUAAUCCAUGGAUGUUUCUUCUUCUGCAGAGUAAUUCCGGAAUCUAAAGAUUAAACAAAGUCAUGGGUAGCAGCAGGCUAACAGAGUAGCAGGCAGCAGCUGAAAAGGGGGAAUUCUCAAUUCUGUGAUUACAAAAUUAAGGGGCAAGAGUUGUUGGCAGACACUCAUUUUUGUCGCAAAAUACUAUACUUUUGGCUUUGCUGUGACUUGUGAGACUGUGGUUGCUGCCUUGCUGGUUCUUGACUAUAGCAUGCAGGUACAUUUAUUAAUCUGUUAUGACUUAUGAGUUAAGAAAAUAUUUUGGUGUCCCCUCUAAGAUUAGAUCCUAGAUCCGCCCCU
Molecule: long non-coding RNA, 528 nt
Organism: Daucus carota subsp. sativus
Lineage: Eukaryota; Viridiplantae; Streptophyta; Magnoliopsida; Apiales; Apiaceae
Exons: 3
Source: RefSeq, a predicted model, not a curated record